GACCCAGUGGUCAAGACGGUCAAGACAUAACCUUUUCGCUGUUAAAACGAGAGUUCAAAUCUCUCCUGGGUUA
Molecule: non-coding RNA, 73 nt
Organism: Exophiala bonariae
Lineage: Eukaryota; Fungi; Ascomycota; Eurotiomycetes; Chaetothyriales; Herpotrichiellaceae
Source: the annotation of a RefSeq genome assembly